UCAAAUCCAGAGCCUCUUGUGCUUUUAGUGGGUCAGUCAAUAUAGCAUUCAAUUGUUGUACAGCUGCUGCCUUUUGUUUUUUCAUGAAAGCAGGAUCUGGAACCCCAAGGGUGGAUAAAAGACUUAUCAACUGGCGGUUCAGAAAACAAGGUUGAAUCUUGCUACAUGCUAAAACGUCUAACUUUGUGUUUUCUGAUUCAUACUUGGACAUGCUCCUCCUCAAUGAUAAUUUCAUUGAUGAAGUUGGAUCAACGGCCACCACACACCUUUGUACCCACCAUAUCGAAUCUGAAAGGCAGAUGGAGUCCCAUUAAAGCCACAUUUUGAGGCCACUUUCUUAGCAAAAUCAGCAGAUAUUUUCCCAAUCCCAUCGGAGAAGACAUAUUUAUUGUUUUCUACAUCGGGAAUAACUUCCAUUUCAUGUUUUCCAACAUUUAAAGUUUCAGUGGACGAACCAAAGGAUUGACCUAAUCUGGCAGCAUAUUUUGCUACAUUUUUUAUACGACGAAAAUCCCCCAUCCACUCUCUUAUAUUGGCUGCAGUAAGUCCCCGUCUUGAAGCAAACAUCCACAUAGAAUUCUCUCGCAAUUGACUUGAUGAGAAUGCGAGAAACUCGAAUUUCUUUUCACCAAUUACUAUGCCGUUUCUGAGAAUAAAAAGAAUCCGCUUGUAGAUGUCGGUUUUCCCAUCCUCAUAGGCAGCAGAAGUACGUGGAAGCAAAUCUGAAGAAUAAACUCGAUCCAUCUCCUCGUCAACAAAGGAAACACGAAUGAAGUUAUCAAUAUCAUCUGGAUAAUUGCGUAGUACACGAUUUGAGACAUUGACCUCAGGACCAGAAGAAAAUACACGACAUGGUGUAAUUUGGACCCUGCGUACAUAUACCAACCCAGAAUCUAAGGAUAUGACAGAUGACUGUGGACGUCUCUUUGACGUGAGGUACUUCCUGUACUGCUCAUUAAGCCACUCUGAAGGUUUAUAGCAGGUCUCUUUCAAAUUAUAUAAUUUCUCUAGGGCAUACUCUAUACAUGCACGAUCAAAUCUGUGCGGAUCAACCAUCUUAUAAAAUAUAACAUCAAGUGUUGGCCCUGAAAGAUACCCAAGCUGAAGCAGAGAAUGAACUUUAAACAAGAUAUCAUAUGGCACAUACACAUUGACACCUCGAGGAGGACAAACCAUGGGACCCAGACUCGGGUUGCAAGAAUAAGGGGGACCAACCUCCAAGACAAGGUUACCUUCAAUCUCUUCAUACCCAGGAAAGUUUUCUCGAAAAUCUGGAAGUUGGAGACUAUGAGGAAGCUCCAAGCUUAAUGCAAAAGACUGCCCAAUAGCACGUGAUGGAGUGAAAUCAGUAGUCCUGACCCAUUGAUCAUCAGAGUCCAUGAAAUAGGUCAUACCAAGAUCUUCAUAUGCUUGUCCUGAAGAGCGUAUGACUUUCUUAGAAAUCCGAGGUGCUCCGUACAUCUGAUAAUUGGAGACAAAUCAUCAAACUUUUCAAGAUUACUAAUUCAUAAAAGAGAACAUUUAAUUUUUCGCCAACUGCAGUAGCAUGCUUUGACGAUGUUAAUAAAAAUAUUCCAUUCAUACUAUAUUCUCAGAAUUUUAUCCACUUCCCUCAACACCUCAAAUUGUAGAAACUACAAACUUUUAAAUUCCAUCAAACGAAGAAAAUUGAUUUUUGCUCAAAUCCAGACAAGGAUUACCAUGUUAACCCUUAAAGUGAACAACCCUCAAUUCUCUAGACUGGUGAUUUGACGCUCACCAAUUUGCUAGAAAUGGGAAAGCAGAAAAAGGUCACAUAUAUUUAGAAGCAAAUGCACCAUGUAGAUGAUAUAAAAUUAUUCAAUCGUAAACAGAACAAGGAUUAGGAGAAGACAAUCAUUUGAAUUUAACUGCUGAUUAAAAAUAGGUGAGGAACCUGAAUCAGAAGAUGCUUAGCAGCACAACCGCGUGGACGAUGCAACUCAAUCUGCCAGAUGUUUUCAUAGGAAAGUUCGAUCAUAUACUCCAGAGCGUCAUAUUUCAGACGACAAACUAGUUUCCGCAAUCCAAUCCCAAAAUCCACUGAAACAUUGUUCAUAUUCCAGAAACUAAAUAGCUUAUUUGUUGCGAUCUUGCAGCCAAAAUCCAGCUUUAUGUUUUCAAAGGUAUGCAAAGAGCCUCUUGGCUUUGGUACAAUAUCCUGAUCCAGCUUCCAAGAAUUCAGAUAGGAAGCGCCAUAGUACAAGUUUCUAGCACUGGCCAUGUAGUGAAUAAGAUCAGCAUUUUUGGUGGUGUCAAACUGAACAGUAGCAUAAUAUCUUCUCCCAUCUUUGGCUUUUCUUAAUCUCACAGCAUAGACAGAUCCUUUUCCUGUUUCUUUCUCCAGCAACCGCACAACUGCUUCUGCAGUCACACCGGAAGUGAAUCCAUGCAACCUUAUCGUCCUACUCAUCUCUUAUCAUGUGAAUAUGUUCACUGUAUUUACGCUGACAAAGAAUCCAUAUGAGUAAAAUGUACUUGUAUGGUUUUAUUGAAAUUAUGAAAUUAAGGGCUCGUUUGGGAGAGCUUUUUAAAUGACUAAAAGCGCAUUUGGGGAAAAUGUUUUUGGGUUCCAAAAGCACUUAAACUGCUUCCUACGAGUAGUGGUGCUUCUUGUAGGAAGCACUUCAAGUGCUCUUCCACCAGUUAUGUGCUUGUUUUAGGAAGCAGUACUUCAAGUGUUUUUCCAAAAUUCACCCGCAUUUUUACUAAAGGUUGGUUCCAAAAAUAUUUUUUCACAAAACGCUUUCAGCUAUUUUAAGACAAUAGCAGUUCCAACCGAAAACCAGAAAGUCUCAAUGAAUCCAAGAAAAUACAACAACAACAAAGCCUUUUCCCACUAAGUGGGGUCGGCUAUGUGAAUCCUAGAACGCCAUUGCGCUCGGUUUUGUGUCAUGUCCUCCGUUAGAUCCAAGUACUCUAAGUCUUUUCUUAGGGUCUCUUCCAAAGUUUUCCUAGGUCUUCCUCUAACCAAGAAAAUAAAUUGAAAUUAUUAAGCUAAGAACAAUUAUGAACCUCAUAAACCAAAGCCACUCAAAUGCAAAACAUGCAACAACCUAACAAGUAUAUGAUUAUUUUUAGGGGAUCAACAAUCAGAAAGAACACGAUGAUAAUUCUGCUCUACAAAAAAAUAAAAGCAAAACAACCAAAAAGGAGAGGCCUUUUUUUUUAUGCAAUUGCAGUUGAGAGAAAAUGUGCUUCUUACGAGAAGUUUAAGUGUUUUUCAUGAUUCACUUGCAUUUUUAUUAUAGAUUAGUCCCAAAAACAUUUUUUCACAAAAAAAAAAAAAACGCUCUCAGCUAUUUUAAAAGCAGUUCCAAACGAUCCCUAAGAGAAGCAGAAAGUCUGGAUGUAUCCAAGAAAAGUUAAGGUAAGAACAAAUAUGAACCUCAUAACCCAAAGCCACCCAAAAGCAAAACAUGUAACAACCUAGCAAGUAUAUGAUUAUUUUUUAGAGGAUCAGAUCAACAAUCAGAAAGAACAAGAUGAUAAUUCUGCUAUACAAAAAAGAUGCAAAACAACCAAACAAAGAGAGGCCUUUUGUUAUGCAAUUGCAGUUGAGAGCAAAAGCACAGAUUUUUUCACUGAACAAAACUAAGCACAAAAAUACCCAAUCCAUCCAAAAUUAUAAAAAAUUCAGAACGAAAAAAAACUGGACAAAUACCCCAAUGAAUCUCCCAAUGAUGCAGGAAGAGUAAAGGACACAGAUUUAUCAGAGGGAGAAACCCAAAGAGGAAAUUACACAGGCAAAAAUACCAUCUGCAUAAAAACUUGAUCAAACACAACUAAUCAAUCACACACCAACAAAAACUACAGAGAAAAAACAGAAACUGCAGAGACAAUUAGGGUGCGUUUGGUACGCAGACGGGACGGGACGGAAUAGGACGGAACGGGACGGGACGGAACGGAACGAAGGUGUAAUUUUUUGAAAAAUACAUGGGGUAUAUUUGUCUUAAAAUGGUAAAACAAUGUGUUCCACAGACGUGGAACAAACCCGUUCCAGGGGGAAGUGGGACGCAAAANUUCGAUGGACUCAAGUACAUAACGGUUAUAUGCAUGUUAACUGGAAGAUGUGAUGAUAUUGAUUUUUUCAAUCGAAAUCAGUGUUCUUGAUUUUUACAUUAUAUAAUCUACUGCAAACACAUAAAGACACAGAAUGGAUAUUUUGAACUAAAUUCACGAACUCAUGAUGCAUUACACAUUCUUACCUUGGUCCUUUUUGGGGAAAAACAACACAAUCAACCAUAUGGUACAACUCUGGCACAUCCACAGCCUUUAAAACACGUACAUCGCCAGGGUGCAAACAAGGGUUCUUAGCAACAGCUACCUUCCCCACAAUAAUGAAUCGCUGGUUUGAUGCACUUACAGUAUGCCUGUUACCAGAGAAUUGCACAAACACCUCACCAUAUUCCAAUGUUCUGGUUUCAUCUAGACAUCCCAUCAUUGCUCGUCCAUCUGGAAUAAAGAUUCUUGUUUUCGUCCGCAACUCUAGCAACUUUGAUGCCCGAAAUGUUUGCAGCAUCAUUGAAAUGAAGGGUUCAACAUCAGGUUUAUAACCACAUAUAAGCAAUUCCUUCAAGCAGUUGGUAGUCUCCCCUGCAGACAUCAAAUCCAGAGCCUCUUGUGCUUUUAGUGGGUCAGUCAAUAUAGCAUUCAAUUGUUGUACAGCUGCCUUUUGUUUUUUCAUGAAAGCAGGAUCUGGAACCCCAAGGGUGGAUAAAAGACUUAUCAACUGGCGGUUCAGAAAACAAGGUUGAAUCUUGCUACAUGCUAAAACGUCUAACUUUGUGUUUUCUGAUUCAUACUUGGACAUGCUCCUCCUCAAUGAUAAUUUCAUUGAUGAAGUUGGAUCAACGGCCACCACACCUUUGUACCCACCAUAUCGAAUCUGAAAGGCAGAU
RNAcentral lists this long non-coding RNA (4919 nucleotides) under Malus domestica (apple). Its description in RNAcentral is "long non-coding RNA (MDOM_LNC011729)". Lineage: Eukaryota; Viridiplantae; Streptophyta; Magnoliopsida; Rosales; Rosaceae. The record is from RNAcentral.